GUGCACAUUUUCCAUUGCCUUUUUCUUUUUCAUUAUAAGAUUUAAGAUAUUUCUGAUGUGCUAGAUAAACACUGGAGGUAAAUUAGCAGGAUGGCUCUCUUGUGCCACCACUGCCAGUCCCCUUCAUACAAGU
This is a small nucleolar RNA of Triplophysa rosa, 133 nucleotides long. The record is from RefSeq and is a predicted model, not a curated record. Lineage: Eukaryota; Metazoa; Chordata; Actinopteri; Cypriniformes; Nemacheilidae.